This 497-nucleotide ribosomal RNA is filed under the name uncultured bacterium. RNAcentral describes it as "partial 16S ribosomal RNA". It matches the Rfam family "Bacterial small subunit ribosomal RNA", at positions 28 to 507 of the family's 1533-position model. The record is from RNAcentral.
GAUGAACGCUGGCGGCGUGCCUAAUACAUGCAAGUCGAGCGAACAGACGAGGAGUUUGCUCCUCUGACGUUAGCGGCGGACGGGUGAGUAGCACGUGGAUAACCUACCUAUAAGACUGGGAUAACUUCGGGAAACCGGAGCUAAUACCGGAUAAUAUAUUGAACCGCAUGGUUCAAUAGUGAAAGACGGUUUUGCUGUCACUUAUAGAUGGAUCCGCGCCGCAUUAGCUAGUUGGUAAGGUAACGGCUUACCAAGGCAACGAUGCGUAGCCGACCUGAGAGGGUGAUCGGCCACACUGGAACUGAGACACGGUCCAGACUCCUACGGGAGGCAGCAGUAGGGAAUCUUCCGCAAUGGGCGAAAGCCUGACGGAGCAACGCCGCGUGAGUGAUGAAGGUCUUCGGAUCGUAAAACUCUGUUAUUAGGGAAGAACAAAUGUGUAAGUAACUAUGCACGUCUUGACGGUACCUAAUCAGAAGGCCACGGCUAACUACGUG